GUGUCAGCAGCCGCGGUAAUACGUAGGGGGCAAACGUUGCUCGGAAUUACUGGGCGUAAAGGGUGUGUAGGUGGCUGAGUAAGUCAAAGAUGAAAUCCCGAGGCUCAACUUCGGAAUGGUCUUUGAUACUGUUUAGCUUGAGGAUAGUUGAAGAGAAUGGAAUUCCCGGUGGAGCGGUGAAAUGCGUAGAUAUCGGGAGGAACACCUGAGGCGAAGGCGAUUCUCUAAGCUACUCCUGACACUGAAACACGAAAGCUAGGGGAGCAAACGGGAUUAGAUACCCCGGUAGUCCUAGCCAUAAACGAUGGACACUAGAUAUUCCUGCGUUUAUGUGGGAGUGUCGAAGCUAACGCGUUAAGUGUCCCGCCUGGGGAGUACGGUCGCAAGGCUGAAACUUAAAUGAAUUGACGGGG
Molecule: ribosomal RNA, 413 nt
Filed under: uncultured prokaryote
Description: bacterial SSU rRNA
Rfam family: Bacterial small subunit ribosomal RNA
Source: RNAcentral